This is an RNA transcript of Magnolia sinica, 2560 nucleotides long. It is a transcript of the gene named cytochrome c biogenesis protein CCS1, chloroplastic, with no coding region annotated. The transcript is spliced from 9 exons. The record is from RefSeq and is a predicted model, not a curated record. Lineage: Eukaryota; Viridiplantae; Streptophyta; Magnoliopsida; Magnoliales; Magnoliaceae.
UUAUCCAUUGUAACUCUCUCUCUCUCUCUCUCUCUCUCUCUCUCUCCGUAUAUAGAUUUUCUACUCAAAUUUCUCACAUUACGACUUCCUAAGAAAUGCUUCUGCAAGCUCUGCCAAUGGAUCUUCUAAACCCCACCAAAACCCUGAAACAGUCCCCACGUCUUCUUCAAUCAGCACCGUUCAAUUCUCCACCUCUCUUCCUCAACACCCAUCAUCUCCCCACUCUCACUCUCAGUAGCCGCAGUAGGAAUAAGAGAUAUCUCCUUUUCAGGAUUGGGUGCAAGCUCAAAACCUCCAAAGAUAGGCAAAACAAGCCAAUGCCCAAGAAGAUAACCGUCCCCGAUGCCGCCCCUUCAGUUUCCGAAGGGAAUGAAGGCAGUCCCCCCGAAUUCAGAAUAUCUGAUGGAAUUUCCUUCGUGGGUUUCUUUAGAAAGAUGCCUAGAAGGAUUCUAUCAGGUCUCUCCAACCUCCCUUUGGCUAUUGGAGAGAUGUUCACCAUUGCAGGCCUUAUGGCUUUGGGCACAUUCAUAGAUCAGGGCGAGGCCCCAGAUUUCUAUUUCCAGAAGUAUCCAGAAGAAAAUCCAGUCCUAGGAUUUUUCACUUGGAGAUGGGUUCUUGGGCUCGGCUUCGACCACAUGUUUUCCUCUCCUGUCUUCCUUGGAAUGUUGGUUCUUCUCGCUGCAUCGCUCAUGGCCUGUACUUACACGACACAGAUACCUCUGGUUAAAGUUGCAAGAAGAUGGUCUUUCUUGCAUUCAGCUGAUGUUAUUCGCAAGCAGGAAUUCUCGGACUCUCUGCCGCGGGCUUCAAUUCAAGAUUUGGGUGUUAUUUUGAUGGGUGCAGGAUAUGAGGUGUUCUUAAAAGGGCCAUCCUUGUAUGCCUUCAAGGGGCUGGCUGGUCGAUUUGCCCCCAUUGGAGUACAUUUGGCGAUGUUGCUGAUAAUGGGAGGAGCAACUCUCAGUGCUGUGGGAAGCUUUCGAGGUUCAGUGACUGUUCCUCAAGGACUGAAUUUCGUUGUGGGGGAUGUACUGGGUCCAAGUGGCUUCCUUUCUACUCCUACACCGGCUUUUGACACUGAAGUCCAUGUUAACAGAUUCUACAUGGACUAUUAUGAUAGUGGAGAGGUGUCGCAAUUCCACACUGAUCUUUCACUGUUCAACUUGGACGGGAAAGAAGUCAUGAGGAAAACAAUCAGUGUAAAUGACCCACUAAGAUAUGGAGGGAUCACAAUAUACCAGACGGAUUGGAGUAUCUCAGCCCUUCAAAUACUAAAGGAUGGUGAAGGUCCUUACAAUCUGGCUAUGGCACCUUUGAAGGUGAAUGGAGACAAGAAGCUUUACGGGACAUUCCUACCAGUUGGAGACACCGAUUCUUCUGAUGUGAAGGGAAUAUCGAUGCUUGCACGUGAUCUGCAGUCCAUUAUCUUGUACGAUCAAGAGGGGAAAUUUGCUGGAGUCCGCCGGCCUAGUUCAAAACUUCCAAUCGAAAUCGAUUCCGUAAAAAUUGUGAUCGAAGAUGCAAUUGGUAGUAGCGGCCUUAAUUUGAAGACGGACCCAGGUGUGCCGAUUGUAUAUGCCGGAUUUGGAGCUUUGAUGCUCACUACUUGCAUCAGUUAUUUAUCUCAUUCGCAGAUAUGGGCCCUGCAAGAUGGAACAACUUUGGUCAUUGGAGGGAAGACUAAUCGGGCGAAGCUUGAGUUUCCAGAAGAGAUGAAUCACCUACUCGAUAAGGUUCCAGAAAUAGUAGGCUCUGGGGACCCCCUCAACGGCUUGAUUGGUCAACCAAUAACAAUAGAUUCAUCUCUUCCCGAGCAGUCCGAAAGCAUCACUGGCGAGUUUUAGAGGCAUUGUGAUGCAAAGAAAUUUCAGCAGUGGAGAUAGUUGAGAGCUCGUGUUUGAAAAGACAGUUGGCCAUAUGACAUGUUGCAAUCAUCGCUGCUUCAUUUCAGGUAAUUUUCAACUUGGUUUAUUCAAACAUGAGUCAUUUCUCAGUCACCCAAGAACUUCCAAGAGCAGAACCUGCACUUACGACUACAACUUAUCGGGAAAAACUGGUUGUUCUCCACAUUUCAGAGGUUACAUGGUAGCUGGGUUUGAUGGGCAUGUAAAGAGAAUCUCUAGGGAUGAUAGUUAAGAAGCUACAAGCAGGUAUGGCAUGUGUGGAGAGAGGAAGCAGUUUGCAAGAAGUGGAUAGAUGGGUGGAAACACAAUUUUAAGAGGGUUAUUUGAUAUUCUAGUAAAGUAUUUCACCUGAAAACAUUAGGGCAUCAGCUAUUGCAUCCGGGUCCUUCCAAAUAGCCAAAAACAUCUAUAUCAUGAUAUAUCAGGGGCUUGACUGUUGGUGGGGGAUACCCGAAACUCUCAGAUUGAAGUAUUUCAAUCAUUUGAUUAUUUGAAGGGUAUGAAAACCUUCCAUAUUCAAAUGAUCGGAGGUACAAUAUGUCUAAAUGUAAGAGAUUUUACUUUUUGGUAAAGGGAUUAUCAUAUAAAUGGUCAAGUUGUUUGGAAGAUGACCCAGACCCAAAGUCUGAAGUCCCAAUGUAUCUCAUAUCAAUGCAACA